GACGAACGCUGGCGGCGUGCCUAAUACAUGCAAGUAGAACGCUGAAGGAGGAGCUUGCUUCUCUGGAUGAGUUGCGAACGGGUGAGUAACGCGUAGGUAACCUGCCUGGUAGCGGGGGAUAACUAUUGGAAACGAUAGCUAAUACCGCAUAAGAGUAGAUGUUGCAUGACAUUUGCUUAAAAGGUGCAAUUGCAUCACUACCAGAUGGACCUGCGUUGUAUUAGCUAGUUGGUGGGGUAACGGCUCACCAAGGCGACGAUACAUAGCCGACCUGAGAGGGUGAUCGGCCACACUGGGACUGGGACACGGCCCAGACUUCUACGGGAGGCAGCAGUAGGGAAUCUUCGGCAAUGGACGGAAGUCUGACCGAGAAACGCCGCGUGAGUGACGAAGGUUUUCGGAUCGUAAAGCUCUGUUGUAAGGGAAGAACGAGUGUGAGAGUGGAAAGUUCACACUGUGACGGUAUCUUACCAGAAAGGGACGGCUAACUACGUG
RNAcentral lists this ribosomal RNA (495 nucleotides) under uncultured bacterium. RNAcentral describes it as "partial 16S ribosomal RNA". It matches the Rfam family "Bacterial small subunit ribosomal RNA", at positions 28 to 507 of the family's 1533-position model. The record is from RNAcentral.